This 465-nucleotide ribosomal RNA is filed under the name uncultured bacterium. RNAcentral's name for it is "partial 16S ribosomal RNA". It matches the Rfam family "Bacterial small subunit ribosomal RNA", at positions 338 to 795 of the family's 1533-position model. The record is from RNAcentral.
CCUACGGGUGGCAGCAGUGGGGAAUAUUGCGCAAUGGGCGAAAGCCUGACGCAGCGACGCCGCGUGAGGGAUGAAGGUCUUCGGAUCGUAAACCUCUGUCAGCAGGGAAGAACGGUCACUGUGCUAAUCAACAGUGAAUUGACGGUACCUGCAAAGGAAGCACCGGCUAACGCCGUGCCAGCAGCCGCGGUAAUACGGAGGGUGCGAGCGUUAAUCGGAAUUACUGGGCGUAAAGCGAUCGUAGGCGGUAUGUCAAGUCAAGGGUGAAAGCCCCGCGCUCAACGUGGGAACUGCCUUUGAAACUGGCAAGCUGGAGUGUGUGAGAGGAUAGUGGAAUUCCAGGUGUAGGAGGGAAAUGCGUAGAUAUCUGGAGGAACAUCAGUGGCGAAGGCGACUAUCUGGCACAUAACUGACGCUGAGGAGCGAAAGCGUGGGUAGCAAACAGGAUUAGAUACCCCUGUAGUC